RNAcentral lists this long non-coding RNA (358 nucleotides) under Homo sapiens (human). RNAcentral's name for it is "HSALNT0291770". The record is from RNAcentral. Lineage: Eukaryota; Metazoa; Chordata; Mammalia; Primates; Hominidae.
GCAAAACCACGAAGUAUUUUGGGAGUGGAAGCAGGGAGAAGGUGGAGGGCUGACUUUCCGCGCACAGGGUACAGGCGAGAAGAGGUGCUUGUAACUACUGGCUGCAGGAUACUGCAGGAGCAGAGGUAGCAAACAGCUGAAUUCUAUGAAAAUAGAAAUUGGUUAAAAGUGUUGCUUCAGUGUAUCAGAUGACAAGGGAGAUGGUGAAAUAUUACAAGGGCCCUACAGAAUAGACACUUGCAACUCUCCAGCCAAGUAAACAUGCUUCAGAGGACAUCGUAGAGAAAGGACUGUCAUCUAGUGGAGUCCUUUAGCCACUGUUACGUUUGGAGUAUUACAUAAAAUUCUACAUACAACA